UGCCUUCAUGUGACCACCUUGUGUUU
RNAcentral lists this non-coding RNA (26 nucleotides) under Mus musculus (house mouse). Lineage: Eukaryota; Metazoa; Chordata; Mammalia; Rodentia; Muridae. The record is from RNAcentral.